GACGAACGCUGGCGGCGUGCCUAAUACAUGCAAGUCGAGCGGACCAAAGGGAGCUUGCUCCUGGAGGUUAGCGGCGAACGGGUGAGUAACACGUGGGCAACCUGCCUGUAAGACUGGGAUAACAUCGAGAAAUCGGUGCUAAUACCGGAUAAUAAAAAGAACUGCAUGGUUCUUUUUUGAAAGAUGGUUUCGGCUAUCACUUACAGAUGGGCCCGCGGCGCAUUAGCUAGUUGGUGGGGUAACGGCUCACCAAGGCGACGAUGCGUAGCCGACCUGAGAGGGUGAUCGGCCACACUGGGACUGAGACACGGCCCAGACUCUUACGGGAGGCAGCAGUAGGGAAUCUUCCGCAAUGGACGAAAGUCUGACGGAGCAACGCCGCGUGAGUGAUGAAGGUUUUCGGAUCGUAAAACUCUGUUGUUAGGGAAGAACAAGUGCCGUUCGAAAGGGCGGCACCUUGACGGUACCUAACGAGAAAGCCACGGCUAACUACGUGCCAGCAGCCGCGGU
RNAcentral lists this ribosomal RNA (510 nucleotides) under uncultured bacterium. RNAcentral's name for it is "bacterial SSU rRNA". It matches the Rfam family "Bacterial small subunit ribosomal RNA", at positions 28 to 521 of the family's 1533-position model. The record is from RNAcentral.